GGAUUAGGAGAGAACGAAAUAGAUAACAUCAUGUUAAUAUAAGGAAUUCCAUAACUACCCUCAAAAUCAAGAUGGCGCGUAUAUCUCCUGCACCCCGCCAAUUCUUCAACCCACCUUCCGAUCAUCUCUCCUAUAAUGGUUUUGCACAGUUAUUGAAGAAGCUGGAUAAACUGGUUGAAGAGAGAACCCUCUCUAGCGCCAAAUUGGAUUGACUUCUCCAUCUUUCUCUGGCUGCAAUCUGAUUGAAGAUAGAACCAGUUUGCUGGGAAUUUCGGUUAUAUGUUGAAUAACUUGGGAACACAGCGGGAGAGUUCGAGAUACAAGGAGAAAGAGAGAGUGAAGUUACUGAAGUUACUGGUUUAGGUUUAUAAUUUUUAAAUUUUGACAUUUUUUUAUUAAAUGACUGUUUUGUCCUCACAUGGGUUGUACAUGACCUAAGUUAACUGAAAGUUUUAAUCAGGUUAGG
Molecule: long non-coding RNA, 466 nt
Filed under: Helianthus annuus (common sunflower)
Lineage: Eukaryota; Viridiplantae; Streptophyta; Magnoliopsida; Asterales; Asteraceae
Description: hypothetical non coding rna
Source: RNAcentral